RNAcentral lists this ribosomal RNA (253 nucleotides) under uncultured bacterium. Its description in RNAcentral is "partial 16S ribosomal RNA". It matches the Rfam family "Bacterial small subunit ribosomal RNA", at positions 524 to 776 of the family's 1533-position model. The record is from RNAcentral.
UACGAGGGGGGCGAGCGUUGUUCGGAAUUAUUGGGCGUAAAGGGCGCGUAGGCGGCUCAUGAAGGCUGUGGUGAAAGUCCGGGGCUCAACCUCGGAUCGGCCGUGGCGACUCGUGGGCUGGAGCACUGUAGAGGCGGGUGGAAUUCCGGGUGUAGCGGUGGAAUGCGUAGAGAUCCGGAAGAACACCAGUGGCGAAGGCGGCCCGCUGGGCAGUGGCUGACGCUGAGGCGCGACAGCGUGGGGAGCAAACAGG